Molecule: long non-coding RNA, 624 nt
Filed under: Mytilus galloprovincialis (Mediterranean mussel)
Lineage: Eukaryota; Metazoa; Mollusca; Bivalvia; Mytilida; Mytilidae
Source: RNAcentral
CUAUGCUGUUGCAUACUGACCCCAACCUCAAGAAAAGAAAAAUGUAUCCCCCACUUUUUUUCUUUUUAAUUUCUGAAAUCUGAUAUGGGAAAAAAAAUCUUUACACAUAAUUUUAAAGCAGUGUAAGGGAGGUAAUCAAACAUGUCUGGAUUACCUUAAUAUAUUUGGAUUACCUUCCUUACACUGGUUUCAAAUUGUCUUAAUUGACCAUUAACCAAGAAACCCUUGUUUUUCCCUCUUUUUUGCCUCUAAUUCCUAAACGGUUUGAGCCAUAACACCUCCCCCCACCUACCCUCCGAGCAAAUCAUAACCAUCCCUUUUGUAGUUUGGAAACUUGUGGUAUAAUUUCAGAGAGAUUCAUACACUUAAUGACUGGAAACUACAAAAAUGUUUAUUUCGACCCCCUUUUUGGCUCCUAAUUCCUAAACAGUUAAGACCAUAACCCCCCCCCCCCCCCCCCCCCCCCCCCCAAAUCAAUCCCAACCUUUCUUUAGUGGUUAUAAACCUUGUGUUAAAAUUUGAUUGAUUUCUAUUUACUUAAACAAAAGUUAUUAUCCGGAAAACAUCUGUCUUCGGCGACGCUGACGACGACGACGUGAUAGCAAUAUACGACCAUUUUUUUUU